Paramuricea clavata is the source of this 308-nucleotide non-coding RNA. The record is from the annotation of a GenBank genome assembly. NCBI's taxonomy places the organism in Eukaryota, Metazoa, Cnidaria, Anthozoa, Malacalcyonacea, Plexauridae.
AUAUAUCCAUCUUGCAUUAAAAAUUCCCAUCAAAUUUGCAACAAACGUGCAUAAGACAUUCUGCAAAGUUGCUUCGACCAGCCAAGUUUUAACAUAGGCAGCCAAAAAAUACUCCGUUAUAUCGUCAACAAUCUGCAUACAUAAUAUGACACACAAGUAUAAUGCAGGAUAGCAAAAUACUUAGUAAGGAGUAUAUUUUAAGAGUAUAUUUCAAAGAACUACCGUACAUUAAAAUAUACACUUAAACUGUUAUUAUUAGAACUGCAUUAAAAUAUAAAUUAAACAUCUACUUAUACUUUAUAACUAUU